GAGAAACGGCUACCACAUCCAAGGAAGGCAGCAGGCGCGCAAAUUACCCACUCCCGGCACGGGGAGGUAGUGACGAAAAAUAACGAUACGGGACUCAUCCGAGGCCCCGUAAUCGGAAUGAGCACACUCUAAAGACUUUAACGAGUAUCCAUUGGAGGGCAAGUCUGGUGCCAGCAGCCGCGGUAAUUCCAGCUCCAAUAGCGUAUAUUAAAGCUGUUGCGGUUAAAAAGCUCGUAGUCGGACUUGUGUCCCACGCUGCCGGUUCACCGCCCGUCGGUGUCUAACUGGCACGCACGUGCGGACGUCCUGCCGGUGGCCCGAGCCGGCGCCCGCGGGUGAGGGGGGCGGCAACGUCCCUCCACCCCGGGUCGUCUCGGGGAGGGCCUACACAAUCCCGUCGCGGUGCUCUUGACCGAGUGUCUCGAUGGGCCGGCACGUUUACUUUGAACAAAUUAGAGUGCUUAAAGCAGGCAGCAGCCGCCUGAAUACCGAGUGCAUGGAAUAAUGGAAUAGGACCUCGGUUCUAUUUUGUUGGUUUUCGGAAGCCCCGAGGUAAUGAUCAAAAGGGACAGACGGGGGCAUUCGUAUUGCGACGUUAGAGGUGAAAUUCUUGGAUCGUCGC
Molecule: ribosomal RNA, 622 nt
Filed under: Longicaputermes sinaicus
Lineage: Eukaryota; Metazoa; Arthropoda; Insecta; Blattodea; Kalotermitidae
Description: SSU rRNA
Rfam family: Eukaryotic small subunit ribosomal RNA
Source: RNAcentral